GAUCCUUUCAUUAACCACCCCUCCCAGAAAAUACCAAUGGCAGAACAGCCUGGUAGAGUCCAUGCCGCAUUUCUCUUGUUUACCAGACAAAGGAAAAUAUCAGUGGACUAAACAAGUCAUUUUGUCGCCCUUUGGCACUUCUCCAAACAUCAGCAUUGAACGUCCCAGGGAUCUGAAAGCAGUGUCUCAUUAAAACAAGGGGGGGAAACGAAAUAAUGCUUGAGUCUUUAAAAAGCUGCUGCAUUCUGCCACAAAAAAGGGCAGCUCUCUGAGACUCCACGAUAGCCCCAGCAAGGUCACGUUGCCGAUUUCUUCCUUCUCCUUGGCACAUACCUGGCACGGUCCGGUUCCGGAAGGUAAGUACGGGAUAACAGGAGAUGUCAGCACCCAGCUUCAGUGCCUUCAGAGGAGCCAAGAGCUCCCGAUGGCUAAUCCUGCCCCUAAAACUGUCUCCUUCUGCGGCCUCAAGCACAGCAUUUCACCUCUCUGUUGCAAUUUUUUCAUCUGUAAAAUUGGGAUAAUGACAUUUUACUAACGCGCAGGACUGCUGUGAACUUUAAUUAAGGCAGGGUUUGUAAAAUGCUUUAAUGAGGGAAAGCACUAAGAACGAGUAGAUUAUUUGGUUAAGCUGGCUGACGUGGUGCUGCCAGACUUGCCCGAAUAACUCGGGAUCUGUAUGUACGCACUACAGAGUGUUAUUCUGUACGCCUUCAAAGAUAAGUGUUGCAGGGCUUGGGUCUUGGGCAGGCAGGAUUCAGUUUGGGAGUGCCUCUUCCUAAGCAGGCUAGCGUACAGCACUUACAUUCACUGCCCACCUUGUUUUCCUUUAUUUUGCAGACAGCAAACAACUUCGAUUUACCAAGAGCCGCCUUAAAAUGAGGUACGGAGCCAGGUGGUGGGAUAAUCUGCAAUACCAAGGACGGAAUGCAGAAUGUCCUUUCUGAUCCCCUGUUUCUGGAUAUAGGGAAAGCCACGGGUACAUACACGUUACAGGGAAGCGAGCGGUGUCUCCUCAGUGACCUGCGGGGAGAUGGAAGGGGUUGCCCUGCCUGCUGUCUCCAACUCUUCCCAUCCACUCAGACUUCAUCUCACUGUUUUCCCUAUGCCGGGAAGCCAGCCAGCAAGGCUUUGGGCAUCUGGCAGUACUCAGCAGAGGGGUGACUAUCACAUAAAUCUAUUCAAAUACAGUAUCUCGCAGGUGUAAAGUCCAUCCAGACACUGCCUUUCAUUUUGCACCUUACAGCAGGCAGCGGGUGAUAACUGUCACCCUCGCAUCUUUCUUCCAGUUCCUUUUCUACUUUUUGGGCCAGGAAAGAAUUAACUGCUGUGAGCUGCGCUAAAAAAUUGAAUAAGUGGAUGGAGAAAGGCAUCCCCACGAGGGGCAGGACUGGGACCAGCACUUCAAAUCUGACAGGCAAAGGUAAUUCAGGCCGAAGCUGUGCCUCCGGUCCCUCAGACCGCGGGAGGCAGGCAGUCACAAGGACACGGUGGGGACAAUGUGUCUUUCUCUGGGGACCUUUCACCAUCCUUUUUCUACACCUACAGAGGUGUAGGUGCCGCUGCAGCCUUGUCCAGGGACCGCGGUCCUGUCCCGCUCCCUCGCUGCCUGCUCGCAUCCCCCAGGAGCAUGAGAAAGGACCGGUCCCUCCAGUGAAUUCAUCUGGAGCGGUGGUAAGGUCUGGGACUCCAUAUUCUUCUCCAAGAAAGAUUUAAUCCAUCUGGCUCUUAAUACCACCCUGUUGCUCUUUGAUCAGGGAUUAUUUAAGCUAUUAUUGAAAUAUUGCGCUCAGACUUCUAUUAUGGCUGGAAUUCACAGAAACAAUGCUCCUCUCUGGCUGAGCAAAUAAUGUCGAGCUGUUUGUUUUAAACAGAAUUCCACAUAUUCACUUUAUGUUACUUUCACGCUGCUGGUCAGGAACAAUGAUACUUGUCCAGGGCUACAAAUAAUUACCGGGAAUCAUAUUUUGGUGACAUUUCCAGCAAGCUUCUACAGUGAAAAUCCAUUUGCAGCAUUUCCAAUUCCUAGGCAUUUCUUUAGGAAUCAGACAUCUGACUGGCUUUGGGGUUUUGUGUUCUGAUGAGUGCCAGGCUCCCUCACUGUUUCCAUUCUUUAAAUUUUAACCAUGUUUGCAAAAUGUCAGACAUCUAAAUCAGUUUUUCUUUUGUCAGAUAUGAAAGAUUAUUGUCUGGAAAAAUCAGCAGCCACUAAUCUAGCUAAAUCCAUGCUGUUUGUUUGCUGGUUCUACUAUAGACACCUUGGCUCCCAGGUAUUUUCAAGAUUAAGCAUUAGCAUGACAUCUUCUUUUCAAUUUUUAGGCACGAUUGUUCAGAGCAGCAGAUAUAGUCAGAGCAAUGACCACAGACCACGAUUAGUGAUAUUAAAUGUUUGAUGUUGCUGCUCAGUUCAGAUAUGUGACAUGGUAUACACGGACAUGCAUUUUCAAAGGAGAGAUGCUUAGUCCAGCCUGAAAAAUCAAGCUGCUAAAGUGAGCUACAAGUCAGGCAUAACAAAUUAGUAGAUGCUAUUGAUAAUCAUGGACUUAGAGCAAAGUUCUGUCAAGUUGUUGGGGUUUUUUUUAAGUGUUCCUGAGAAACACCCUGCUCCCCUUUUUUGUUUGUUUGUUUUUAAUGAAGGUUUCAGAAAGAUGUUUCCAAGAUACAGGAAAAAUAAGAGAACUCCAACUGCUGCCCCACUUAACAGAGAGAAUUUUCACUUGUUGAGAUUCGUCAUGCAUUUGAAAACUAUUGUGUGGCAAAUCCAAUAAUCCAAAUUAUUGUUUGCUAAUCCAAUUAGGCAUUUUAAUUAA
Molecule: RNA transcript, 2807 nt
Organism: Harpia harpyja (harpy eagle)
Lineage: Eukaryota; Metazoa; Chordata; Aves; Accipitriformes; Accipitridae
Exons: 4
Source: RefSeq, a predicted model, not a curated record